Molecule: ribosomal RNA, 635 nt
Filed under: uncultured Thelephoraceae
Lineage: Eukaryota; Fungi; Basidiomycota; Agaricomycetes; Thelephorales; Thelephoraceae
Description: eukaryotic LSU rRNA
Rfam family: Eukaryotic large subunit ribosomal RNA
Source: RNAcentral
GAGGAAAAGAAACUAACAAGGAUUCCCCUAGUAACUGCGAGUGAAGCGGGAAGAGCUCAAAUUUAAAAUCUGGCGUGCCUCUGGUCGUCCGAGUUGUAGUCUGGAGAAGCGUCUUCCGUGUUGGACCGUGUACAAGUCUCUUGGAACAGGGCGUCAUAGAGGGUGAGAAUCCCGUCUUUGACACGGACUACCAAUGCUUUGUGAUGCGCUCUCAAAGAGUCGAGUUGUUUGGGAAUGCAGCUCAAAAUGGGUGGUAAAUUCCAUCUAAAGCUAAAUAUAGGCGAGAGACCGAUAGCGAACAAGUACCGUGAGGGAAAGAUGAAAAGCACUUUGGAAAGAGAGUUAAACAGUACGUGAAAUUGCUGAAAGGGAAACGCUUGAAGUCAGUCACGUCUGCCAGGACUCAGCCUCGCUUCUGCUUGGUGCACUUUCUGGUUUGAUGGGCCAACAUCGAUUUCGACCGCUGGAGAAAGGCUUUGGGAACGUGGCACCUUCGGGUGUGUUAUAGCCCUUUGUCGUAUGCAACGGUUGGGAUCGAGGACCGCAGCACGCCUUCAUGGCCGGGGUUUUGCCCACGUACGUGCUUAGGAUGUUGGCAUAAUGGCUUUAAACGACCCGUCUUGAAACACGGACCA